AUCCCUAUUCAUACAAAAAAAAGCACAUCUGAACAUUCUUUUUUUCAUCAUUGAAUAUCAAUCUACCAAUAAAAUACAACCUCAUCCUUAAUUUCUACCGGACAGCAGCAGCCUAUCCUCACCCUCUCUCUUCAUCGUAGCCGCGCUCUCUCUCUGUCGUUCUUCACGCAAGCAGCCGCCUUGUCGUUCCCCAUGCAUCAACAGCUCAUCAAAUCGUCCUCCACGUAGCAGCAACCCCGUGUUACUCUCUAGCAUCGUGCCUUCCUCCACUCCUCCCUGCAAUUGCCACUCUCUGUCUUCCGUUUGCAGCUGUUCAGCCCUGCCGUUUCCGUCGUCUAGCCCCACAGUUUUCGUCGACACAGUCUCCUGUAUCUAGAAUGGAGCCUCAGAUGGUGAUACACAGUUGAACCAAUGGGAUGAUGAAGAUAUGGUUUCAGGCUCCAACAGCAAGCAUAGUUACAAUUUUCAAGCUUCCAAUGUUAAUCCUAAGAGAGAAAAGUACCUCAGAUACCGGACCAGACUGAAUGCUGCAGAGUAUGCUUGUUUUAGCUGUGUAAUUUAGUUUUUAUAUAUGUUUCAAAAAUGCCAACCUAUCCUAGAUUCAAACCUUAUGUUUUCUUGGCUUCUUUCAUGCGGUUUUAAUGCAUGUAAUGUGAAAUAUACCUUCAUCCUUUGGUAAAGAAUUAGGAAGUACAUACUGAGAUUUGGUAACCAUAUCUAAGUUAUCUUCAUUCAAUCCAAAGUUCAUCAGAAGAGGUGCUCUGUAAUUUUAGCUUCAGCUUGGCAAAUAUUUGAUGACGAUGGCAAUGGCAAUGGCAGUUCAACCAAGUCUAACAAAUUAAAAGGAGGCAAAGUUGAGUGAUUAGGGAUGGAUAGCCUUUGAAUGUUUCUUGAUGUUGAUAUGAAGAAGACAUACAUGAACACCAGAAUUUGCUAUGGGAAGUUGGAAAAAUGGUAUUAAAUGGUCAAAGGCGCACCACUGAAGCAUCACUACGUGAAUUCUUCUUUGCAAUUUUUCAUUAAUUACUUCUUCUUUCUCCGCUUCUGGUCUGAAGGAUCCUCUGAGUGAUGUUUUAUGUGCUGCGGUAACUUUGCUUUAAUAUACAAUAUACUAGAUUUAAAAUGUGUGAUGCACACAAAAAUACUAGAAUACA
This is a long non-coding RNA of Arachis duranensis, 1154 nucleotides long. RefSeq lists it as uncharacterized. The record is from RefSeq and is a predicted model, not a curated record. NCBI's taxonomy places the organism in Eukaryota, Viridiplantae, Streptophyta, Magnoliopsida, Fabales, Fabaceae. The transcript has 3 exons.